Oncorhynchus keta (chum salmon) is the source of this 294-nucleotide long non-coding RNA. RefSeq lists it as uncharacterized. NCBI's taxonomy places the organism in Eukaryota, Metazoa, Chordata, Actinopteri, Salmoniformes, Salmonidae. The transcript is spliced from 5 exons. The record is from RefSeq and is a predicted model, not a curated record.
GGAGGAAGAUGGAGGAGAGGUUUCCCUCUGGGAGGAAGAUGGAGGAGAGGUUUCCUCUGGGAGGAAGAUGGAGGAGAGGUUUCCCUCUGGGAGGAAGAUGGAGGAGAGGUUUCCCUCUGGGAGGAAGAUGGAGGAGAGGUUUCCCUCUGGGAGGAAGAUGGAGGAGAGGUUUCCCUCUGGGAGGAAGAUGGAGGAGAGGUUUCCCUCUGGGAGGAAGAUGGAGGAGAGGUUUCCCUCUGGGAGGAAGAUGGAGGAGAGGUUUCCCUCGGAGGAAGAUGGAGGAGAGGUUUCCCU